AUGGAGACACCUGGAAAACAACUUGACAGUGAAGAGCUAUCACUGUGGUGGACGUUCGGCGCUGGGACCAAGCUGGAAAUCAAACGGAGUAAUCAAAAGCCAACUGUCUCCCUCUUCCCACCAUCAAAAGAGGAGUUGGCAUCCGGAAGUGCCUCACUUGUGUGCUACGCUAACAACUUCUAUCCAAGAGAUAUCAGCGUCAAGUGGAAGGGGGAUGGCACUGAAAUCUCAGACAACAUCCUGAACAGUUACACGAAGCAGGACAGCGUGGACUUCACCUACAGCUUCAGCAGCACCCUAGUGCUGUCCAGAACAGAGUAUGAAAGUCAUGAAGUCUACACCUGCGAGAUCUCCCAUGUUACCCUGUCUUCACCUGAAGUCAAGAAGUUCAGAAGGAAGGAAUGUUAGAGCCAGAGCCCAACAGGCACCACUGCCUGCCCCUCGGGCCCACCCAGCCUUGAUCUCCCUCCUCCCAUCCCCAGCCCUUUCCCAGAGAGACCUACCCGGGCACAGUCCUCCAGCCCCUCUCCACCUCCCUUCCUCCCCCUCCUUGGCUUUAAUCAAGCUGAUACUUGGGGGACACCAUGAAUAAAGUAAUCUUUGCACCUGA
Chinchilla lanigera (long-tailed chinchilla) is the source of this 610-nucleotide non-coding RNA. NCBI's taxonomy places the organism in Eukaryota, Metazoa, Chordata, Mammalia, Rodentia, Chinchillidae. The record is from the annotation of a RefSeq genome assembly.